Molecule: ribosomal RNA, 301 nt
Filed under: uncultured bacterium
Lineage: Bacteria
Description: partial 16S ribosomal RNA
Rfam family: Bacterial small subunit ribosomal RNA
Source: RNAcentral
CAGUAGCCGCGGGAAUACGUAGGGUGCAAGCGUUAAUCGGAAUUACUGGGCGUAAAGCGUGCGCAGGCGGUUAUAUAAGACAGAUGUGAAAUCCCCGGGCUCAACCUGGGAACUGCAUUUGUGACUGUAUAGCUAGAGUACGGCAGAGGGGGAUGGAAUUCCGCGUGUAGCAGUGAAAUGCGUAGAUAUGCGUAGGAACACCGAUGGCGAAGGCAAUCCCCUGGGCCUGUACUGACGCUCAUGCACGAAAGCGUGGGGAGCAAACAGGAUUAGAUACCCCCGUAGUCCCUGUCUCUUAUAC